RNAcentral lists this ribosomal RNA (464 nucleotides) under uncultured Klebsiella sp. RNAcentral describes it as "bacterial SSU rRNA". It matches the Rfam family "Bacterial small subunit ribosomal RNA", at positions 338 to 795 of the family's 1533-position model. Lineage: Bacteria; Pseudomonadati; Pseudomonadota; Gammaproteobacteria; Enterobacterales; Enterobacteriaceae. The record is from RNAcentral.
CCUACGGGAGGCAGCAGUGGGGAAUAUUGCACAAUGGGCGCAAGCCUGAUGCAGCCAUGCCGCGUGUGUGAAGAAGGCCUUCGGGUUGUAAAGCACUUUCAGCGGGGAGGAAGGCGUUAAGGUUAAUAACCUUGGCGAUUGACGUUACCCGCAGAAGAAGCACCGGCUAACUCCGUGCCAGCAGCCGCGGUAAUACGGAGGGUGCAAGCGUUAAUCGGAAUACUGGGCGUAAAGCGCACGCAGGCGGUCUGUCAAGUCGGAUGUGAAAUCCCCGGGCUCAACCUGGGAACUGCAUUCGAAACUGGCAGGCUAGAGUCUUGUAGAGGGGGGUAGAAUUCCAGGUGUAGCGGUGAAAUGCGUAGAGAUCUGGAGGAAUACCGGUGGCGAAGGCGGCCCCCUGGACAAAGACUGACGCUCAGGUGCGAAAGCGUGGGGAGCAAACAGGAUUAGAUACCCCUGUAGUC